Small nuclear RNA from Panthera tigris altaica (Amur tiger), 104 nucleotides. Lineage: Eukaryota; Metazoa; Chordata; Mammalia; Carnivora; Felidae. The record is from Ensembl.
AUGCUUGCUUCGGCAGCCCAUAUACCAAAAUUGGAGCAACGCAGAGAUUAGUAUGGUCCCUGCUCAAGGCUGGCAUGCAGGUUCCUGAAGCCCUCCACUUUGUU